RNAcentral lists this ribosomal RNA (75 nucleotides) under Angraecum distichum. RNAcentral's name for it is "partial 18S ribosomal RNA". It matches the Rfam family "Eukaryotic small subunit ribosomal RNA", at positions 1755 to 1831 of the family's 1831-position model. Lineage: Eukaryota; Viridiplantae; Streptophyta; Magnoliopsida; Asparagales; Orchidaceae. The record is from RNAcentral. RNAcentral also lists the same sequence under 13 other names.
UCAUUUAAAUACAUUUCUACUUUAACCAAAAAUCGUAACAAGGUUUCCGUAGGUGAACCUGCGGAAGGAUCAUUG